RNAcentral lists this long non-coding RNA (212 nucleotides) under Elaeis guineensis (African oil palm). RNAcentral's name for it is "long non-coding RNA (EGUI_LNC034788)". The record is from RNAcentral. Lineage: Eukaryota; Viridiplantae; Streptophyta; Magnoliopsida; Arecales; Arecaceae.
GGGUCACCAUAGGCUGGAUUGCCUCUUACUUAAAAGAAAUCCCAAAAAGACCAAAAAGAGUGAAUUGUUGGGUAUUUGAAAAGAUAGUGACACUUCAAGCUCCAAUAAGGAAGAGGAAGCAAUAAAUCUUUGCCUCAUGGUUAUUGAGGAUGAGGUAAAUUUGGAACACUCUUUUCAAUUUAAAUUUGAUGAAUUAUUUGAAGUCUUUAAUG